RNAcentral lists this unclassified non-coding RNA (321 nucleotides) under Hevea brasiliensis (rubber tree). The record is from RNAcentral. Lineage: Eukaryota; Viridiplantae; Streptophyta; Magnoliopsida; Malpighiales; Euphorbiaceae.
GAAUAAGGGAACAAAUGGAUGGGCUUCACCUCCGGGAGAUAAUUUCAAUCUCCGAGGUACGAAUUACUUCACAAAAAAGACGAAAAUACCUUCAGGUGAAUGGCUUCUACAACCCGCCGGAGUUGAUUGGCUCCGAUCAAAUUCAAAACUCGAUCACGUCCUCUCUCGGAACGACAACCGUGUAAUGAACGCGCUGAAGAAAUCUCAUUCACAAGGUGAGUUUCUUAAGACUUUUGUCCUCGCUGUAAACCUUCAAAUCCCCGGUAGAGAUCAGCACAGUGCGGUUUUCUACUUCGCUACUGAACAAAACCGCCCGCUCGA